UACGGAGGAUCCGAGCGUUAUCCGGAUUUAUUGGGUUUAAAGGGAGCGUAGGUGGAUUGUUAAGUCAGUUGUGAAAGUUUGCGGCUUAACCGUAAAAUUGCAGUUGAUACUGGCAGUCUUGAGUACAGUAGAGGUGGGCGGAAUUCGUGGUGUAGCGGUGAAAUGCUUAGAUAUCACGAAGAACUCCGAUUGCGAAGGCAGCUCACUGGACUGCAACUGACACUGAUGCUCGAAAGUGUGGGUAUCAAACAGG
RNAcentral lists this ribosomal RNA (253 nucleotides) under Bacteroides finegoldii DSM 17565. RNAcentral's name for it is "partial 16S ribosomal RNA". It matches the Rfam family "Bacterial small subunit ribosomal RNA", at positions 524 to 776 of the family's 1533-position model. Lineage: Bacteria; Pseudomonadati; Bacteroidota; Bacteroidia; Bacteroidales; Bacteroidaceae. The record is from RNAcentral.